GGAAGUAAAAGUCGUAACGAGGUCUCCGUUGGUGAACCAGCGGAGGGAUCAUUACCGAGUUUACAACUCCCAAACCCCUGUGAACAUACCUGUUUUGUUGCUUCGGCGGUGCCCUCGCUCUCGCGGCGAGGCCCGCCAGAGGACCCAAACAAACUCUUUGACUUUGAUCUAGGAUUAUACUUCUGAGUGAUACAAAAAAUAAAAUCAAAACUUUCAACGACGGAUCUCUUGGUUCUG
This 237-nucleotide unclassified non-coding RNA is filed under the name plant metagenome. Its description in RNAcentral is "partial contains small subunit ribosomal RNA, internal transcribed spacer 1, and 5.8S ribosomal RNA". The stretch from base 1 to 54 matches the Rfam family "Eukaryotic small subunit ribosomal RNA", at positions 1778 to 1831 of the family's 1831-position model. The record is from RNAcentral.